Molecule: ribosomal RNA, 458 nt
Filed under: uncultured bacterium
Lineage: Bacteria
Description: partial 16S ribosomal RNA
Rfam family: Bacterial small subunit ribosomal RNA
Source: RNAcentral
CCUACGGUGGACAGCAGUGGGGAAUAUUGCUCAAUGGGGGAAACCCUGAUGCAGCGCCGCCGCGUGAGGGAAGAAGUAAUUCGUUAUUUACAGCUCUAUCAGCAUGGAAGAAACACUGACCUUACGGACAGCAGACGGUACCUGAGUAAGGAGCCACGUCUAACUAAGUGCCAGUACACGCGGUAGUACGUAGGGGGCAUGCGUUAUAAGGAGUUAUUGGGUGUAAAGGGAGCGUAGACGGGGCGCCAUGUUUGCAGGGAAAUGCCGCGUCUUAACUGCGGAAUUGCUGUGGAAACUGGCGACCUUGAGUGCGGGAGGGGAAGGCGGAAUUCCUGGGGUAGCGGUGAAAUGCGUAGAUAUUAGGAAGAACACCGAUGGCGAAGGCGGCUUGCUGGACCGUAACUGACGUUGAGGCUCGAAAGCGUGGGGAGCAAACAGGAUUAGAUACCCGUGUAGUC